RNAcentral lists this ribosomal RNA (250 nucleotides) under uncultured bacterium. Its description in RNAcentral is "partial 16S ribosomal RNA". It matches the Rfam family "Bacterial small subunit ribosomal RNA", at positions 524 to 774 of the family's 1533-position model. The record is from RNAcentral.
UACGGGGGGGCAAGCGUUGUUCGGAAUUACUGGGCGUAAAGGGCUCGUAGGCGGCCAACUAAGUCGGACGUGAAAUCCCCAGGCUCAACCUGGGAACUGCGUCCGAUACUGGAUGGCUUGAAUCCGGGAGAGGGAUGCAGAAUUCCAGGUGUAGCGGUGAAAUGCGUAGAUAUCUGGAGGAAUACCGGUGGCGAAGGCGGCAUCCUGGACCGGCAUUGACGCUGAGGAGCGAAAGCCAGGGGAGCAAAGC